RNAcentral lists this ribosomal RNA (468 nucleotides) under uncultured bacterium. RNAcentral describes it as "partial 16S ribosomal RNA". It matches the Rfam family "Bacterial small subunit ribosomal RNA", at positions 28 to 507 of the family's 1533-position model. The record is from RNAcentral.
GACGAACGCUGGCGGCGUGCUUAACACAUGCAAGUCGAACGGAAAGGCCCUGCUUUUGUGGGGUGCUCGAGUGGCGAACGGGUGAGUAACACGUGAGUAACCUGCCCUUGACUUUGGGAUAACUUCAGGAAACUGGGGCUAAUACCGGAUAGGAGCUCCUGCUGCAUGGUGGGGGUUGGAAAGUUUCGGCGGUUGGGGAUGGACUCGCGGCUUAUCAGCUUGUUGGUGGGGUAGUGGCUUACCAAGGCUUUGACGGGUAGCCGGCCUGAGAGGGUGACCGGCCAAAUUGGGACUGAGAUACGGCCGAGACUCCUACGGGAGGCAGAAGUGGGGAAUAUUGCACAAUGGGCGGAAGCCUGAUGCAGCAACGCCGCGUGCGGGAUGACGGCCUUCGGGUUGUAAACCGCUUUCGCCUGUGACGAAGCGUGAGUGACGGUAAUGGGUAAAGAAGCACCGGCUAACUACGUG